Amphiprion ocellaris (clown anemonefish) is the source of this 589-nucleotide long non-coding RNA. RefSeq lists it as uncharacterized. The transcript is spliced from 3 exons. NCBI's taxonomy places the organism in Eukaryota, Metazoa, Chordata, Actinopteri, Pomacentridae. The record is from RefSeq and is a predicted model, not a curated record.
UCCACUGUUUGCACAGAAUACGUCCCCUGUACCACAACUUACAUGUGGCUUGUAAAGCUGUGUACCACCCCUGGCAGGAGCUUUCUGUCGAUGAGUGAAUGGUUGCCACAAAAGCAAGAAUUGCUCUGAAGCAGUACAUUAAGAACAAGCCACCAAAGUAGGGGAUCAAACUGUUUGUGUUGUCAGACACCACAGGCUACAGAGUGGAUUUAACAUUUACACGGGGAGGUCCACUAUGGCGACGGUGGCCCAGCGCUGUUCAUGCACCUACACCGCCUGGGGUUUGGAGCCUGUGGGACAUACUGGGAUGCUGGAACUGGCAUCCAGAAAACAAAAGUCAAUGAUCUCACACAGAAAUCUCCACGGGGGGCGAUCAGGUGGAUCAGACAGGGGCCCCUUCUCCUCAGCAAGUGGAUGGACAUGAGGAAGGUUGCUGGUAUGGUGUCAUAAUGGCAACCAGGCGCUGCAGGUAUCUCCAUCACCCAACAGAAAGUACCCAGCUGGGGGAUACAGUGCUUCCUGGUACAUGGGGGAUCUACGCAGGACAAGGGCAUCAUGUGCACAUCAAUAAAUCUCCCUUUGGCAUCAA